GACGAACGCUGGCGGCGUGCUUAACACAUGCAAGUCGAACGGAAAGGCCCUGCUUUUGUGGGGUGCUCGAAUGGCGAACGGGUGGGUAACAAGUGUGUAACCUACUCUUGACUUUGGGGUAACUUCAGGAAACUGGGGCUAAUACCGGCUAGGAACUUCUCCUGCAUGGAGGGGGUUGGAAAGGUUCGGCGGGUGGGGAGGGACUCGCGGCUAAUCAGUUUGUUGGGGGGGUGGUGGCUGACCACGGCGUUGAGGGGUCGACGGCCUUAGAGGGUGACCGGCCACAAUGGGACUGAGAGACGGCCCAGAGUCCUACGGGAGGCAGUAGGGGGGAAUAUUGCACAAUGGGCGGAAGCCUGAUGCAGCAACGCCGCGUUCGGAAUGACGGCCUUCGGGUGGUAAACCGCGUUCGCCUGUGACGAAGCCUGAUUGACGGUAAUGGGUAAAGAAGCACCGGCUAACUACGUG
RNAcentral lists this ribosomal RNA (468 nucleotides) under uncultured bacterium. RNAcentral describes it as "partial 16S ribosomal RNA". It matches the Rfam family "Bacterial small subunit ribosomal RNA", at positions 28 to 507 of the family's 1533-position model. The record is from RNAcentral.